UCAGCCAGCCACAACUCUAAGAAAACGCGGAGGAGGUGGCCCGGGUCGGCGUCAGCGCCGUCCGGCGCGGGCCACGGGCCCGCUUCCAAGUGCGUCUACGCGCCGGCCACCCACGCCGGGUCCUUCAAGUGCCGCUUCCACCGCACCUACUCCCAGGGCCACGGCCACGGCUAGGGCCAGGGAAGCCGCCCUUCGGCCGCGGCCAACGCGGUGCCGCGGCACCCGGCCUCGCCGUCCUCGUCCUCCGGCACCGUCGCGACCCAGUGA
This 267-nucleotide ribosomal RNA is filed under the name Triticum aestivum (bread wheat). RNAcentral's name for it is "partial small subunit ribosomal RNA". The record is from RNAcentral. Lineage: Eukaryota; Viridiplantae; Streptophyta; Magnoliopsida; Poales; Poaceae.